GACGAACGCUGGCGGCGUGCUUAAUACAUGCAAGUCAUAGGGGCUAAUUUCCUUCGGGAGAUUGGUCACUGGCGCACGGGUGCGUAACGCGUAAGUUAUCUGCCCUUGGGUCUGGCAUAACGUCGGGAAACCGGCGCUAAUUCCAGAUGAUAUCGUAAGAUCAAAGCCUUCGGGCGCCCAAGGAUGAGCUUGCGUCUGAUUAGCUUGUUGGCGGGGUAAUGGCCCACCAAGGCAACGAUCAGUAGCCGGUCUGAGAGGAUGAUCGGCCACAUUGGGACUGAGACACGGCCCAGACUCCUACGGGAGGCAGCAGUAAGGAAUAUUGCGCAAUGGACGAAAGUCUGACGCAGCAACGCCGCGUGCAGGAUGAAGGCCCUUUGGGUUGUAAACUGCUGUAGAAAGGGAAUAAUAGUUUGCCACGGGUGAACUUGAAGGUACCUUUAAAGUAAGCGCCGGCUAACUACGUGCCAGCAGCCGCGGUAAAGUCUGUACU
RNAcentral lists this ribosomal RNA (493 nucleotides) under uncultured bacterium. RNAcentral's name for it is "bacterial SSU rRNA". It matches the Rfam family "Bacterial small subunit ribosomal RNA", at positions 28 to 531 of the family's 1533-position model. The record is from RNAcentral.